AUUGUUAUCUUUAUUUCUCAAGAUAACAAAAAACACCACCUCUUAUAACAUGUUCUGAACGCGUUGGUAAAGCCUUAUAGAACCAGAAAACAUACAUUAGAGCCUAGAUGAUGCACUCCUUGGCUUGGAGUGAGAAAUUUUAAAGAGAAAGAGUGAAAUUUAAAGCAAAAGAAUGAGAGAGUAAGAUUUAGAGAAAGAAUGAAAUCUAAAGAGAAAGCUUGAAAAAGUGAAAUGGAAUAAGAAAGCUUGAAAGAAUAGAAUAUAGAGAAAGCUUGAAUGAAAUCUAAAGAGAAAGUUUGAGAGGAUGAAAUCUAACCCAGUAGCUGCAGGGGUCAUGUUUCUUAAAGGCCUCUCUAAGCGAAUUAAUGGGAAAAAUUCAUCACUCACGCAAACCAUUUCAUAAUAUAUAUCAACGCAUUUGUGGUCAGUUUAUGCAUCAUCUAUUUUUGGGGUUUAUAUCAUGGCAAAAAUUUGGCCCGUUGCUGGUACAUGGUAAAGCCACAAAUUUGGCCCGUUGCUGGUACAUGGUAAAGCCACAAAUUUGGCCUGCUGGUACAUGGUAAAGCCACAAAUUUGGCCCGCUGGUACAUGGUAAAGCCACAAAUUUGGCCCGUCGCUGCUACAUGGUAAAGCCACAAAUUUGGCCCAUCGCUGGUACAUGGUAGAGCCACAAAUUUGGCCCGUCGCUGCUACAUGGUAAAGCCACAAAUUUGGCCCAUCGCUGCUACCGGGUUAAAGAAGAAGCUUGAAAGAUUGAAAUUUAAAGAGAAAGACUAAAAUUUGCAGAAAAAGAAUGAAAGAGUAAAAUAUUUCAACAUUUCCCACAAUUACUAAUCUUCUUAUGUGAUAUUUUGAUAACCAAGGCAGAAAAAAAUAAAUUCAGUAAAUAUUUAAAGUUCAGCUCAAGCAAUAUUUAUUUUUUUUCAGGAACGUAUUUUUUCUGCAAUAAGAGUUAAGGAAAAACAAGAAAAAGAAGGGAUGCUGAGAGAUACUAUAAUCAUUUAAAAUAUAACUCCAAAAACCUUACUAAUUUCCAAAGGUGUUUCUCCUCUUCUUAACAUGUCCCUAUAAGGCUUACAAGAGAGUCAUCCCACAUUUACAAGGAUAAGAUUGGAUGAAACACAACACAGCCAGAUAUUUGAGACAUUCGGAAGAGAGCGUAAGAAUCAAACCCCAAUAUUCCAUAAACAUAUCACUCUCCUAUUACGACUGAGCAAUAUUCAUAAACAUAUCAUUCUCAUUACGACUGUUUUCCAAGGCCACAGAGAAGAGGUUUUCAUGGGUGACUUAAUUGUCCGUUCAUGAUGCAGGAGUCGGGUAAAGCUAUCACUGGGAUCCCAAUACAGUCCAUGUAAAUCCCAGAAACUUCCACGAUAGGCUUUCCGAGCAGGCAAACUGAGAUGCUACAAAGAAGAUAAGCCGGGUUUUCAUGGGUAACUUGUCCGUUCGUGAUGCAGGAGUUGUGUAAAACUAUCACUGGGAUCGCAAAACAGUCCAUGAAAAUCCCAGCAACUUCCACGAGAGGCCUUUCGAACAGGUGAACUGACGCGCAGAUAUGUUUAAGAAUAGGAGAUAGUGAUUUUUUUCUAGUUCGUCCUGGGAGAGACAGGUUACACAUCACAGGAAGAACAAGAAAUGGGUUACAAGGGAUAAGCGACCUUGUGUUUGGUGUACUCUAGGUUGCUUUUUUCUAGUUCGUCCUGGGAGAGACAGGUUACACAUCACAGGAAGAACAAGAAAUGGGUUACGAGGGAUAAGCGACCUUGUGUUUGGCGUACUCUAGGUUGCUCUUCCCUUGUAGGUUACUCGUGUAUCUUGUUCUUCCUGGGAUAUGUGGUUUGCCUUUCCCAGUGCAGACUACGAAAAAACGGCUUUGUCCCUUACGUCCCCUUCUCUGGAUGCCUCUAUAUAAGUCUUCUAUGUAUAUUGUCACAAAUGAAAACUCUUUGUGGUGGCGAGAGAGAUGGCAUACAUUUCAAGCACUGAUAACAUGAUAUACUCUUCAAUAAGCACCUGAUAUAUUGAGCAGAGGUGGUGGUGGUGGUGAUAGUGGUGGUGGGGUGAGUGUACCUCCCUCCCUCCCUGCCUGAGCUGCCCCGGAACCACCCUGGGACUAAGGACACCCCCCCCCGCACACACACACACAUACAUGCUGACUGCCUGGUGUGUGUGUGUGUGGUUUGCCUAUGUCAACAUCUUGGUAUGCUCAUAAGUGUGGUGGUUCGAACGCUGAUAGACACAGUAGCUUAACCUGCCCCCUUGACUGCAGAUUUCCUACCAGAAGACAUCACCAAGCUACAGGAAUGGAACAAAAAGUGGCUGCUACAAUCCAAUGAAGAAAAAUGUAAAGUCCUGCACCUUGGGAGGGGAUAUCCAGCAUACCAAUACCACAUGGGAUACACUCCACUAUCCACCACAGAGGCAGAGAAAGACCUGGGAGUUAUAUGUUACCAGGCUACCAGUGAAGGCCAAAUCCGUGCCAAUCGCAGCGGAUGGGUUUAAACAUUUACGUCCCGAGGGCCCUGACAAAAUUUAAGAGGUACUUCAUCACCAUCGUAAUCUAUUAUCACCGAACUCAUUGCUAAUUAAAGAGGAAAUCACUCAACAAGAAUUUUAUAUAAGACAAACAGGUAGUCAGGACAUAACGGGGUAUCAUUAUCAGAAAGCAGACCUUGUUCAAGACUGAUAGUAUACAUAUUUCUAUGCAACAGACAUAACCACAGAGGUACUGGAUAUCAACAGACAUGCACUGGGGCAGACACAACAAGGUUCAAGGAAAAGCUUACAAAAAUGGUUAACAUGUUUGAGUUGAUAGGGAGCAACAUAUGUUUACUUUUGAGAUAAUUUCAUAAACCUGUUAACUUUAUCAGACAAAAGGUUCAAAGCUUACAAAAAUGACUUACAUGUUUGAGUUGAUAGGUGGCAAAAUGUGUUUACUUUCGAGAUAAUUUCAUAAACCUAUUAACUUUAUCAGACACAAGGUUCAAAGCUUACAAAAAUGACUUACAUGUUUAAGUCAAUGAAUCAACACAUAUUUACUUUCAAGAUAAUUUCAAAAACCUGUUAAC
Long non-coding RNA from Eriocheir sinensis (Chinese mitten crab), 3068 nucleotides. RefSeq lists it as uncharacterized. The record is from RefSeq and is a predicted model, not a curated record. NCBI's taxonomy places the organism in Eukaryota, Metazoa, Arthropoda, Malacostraca, Decapoda, Varunidae. The transcript has 3 exons.